GCCGGUGUGGCGGAAUUGGCAGACGCACGGGACUUAAAAUCCCGAGACGAAAGUCGUACGGGUUCGAUCCCCGUCACCGGUACCA
RNAcentral lists this transfer RNA (85 nucleotides) under Clostridiales bacterium. RNAcentral describes it as "tRNA-Leu". It matches the Rfam family "tRNA". Rfam says of the family: Transfer RNA (tRNA) molecules are approximately 80 nucleotides in length. Lineage: Bacteria; Bacillati; Bacillota; Clostridia; Eubacteriales. RNAcentral also lists the same sequence under 2 other names. The record is from RNAcentral.